CUGCAGGUUUUACUGAAACAACCAACAUCAGUCUGGCUUGAACCAACUUGCUUGGGCCUCUACAGAGUUUAUUGAAAUAAGAACUGGAUACACAUGCUGAUUUUCAUCUGUGAAAGGUGGAGUAAGACACUGAGCACAACCCUUGGUGAAGUCAAGUGCAGUUGUCAGUGAUCCAAGGUCUCCCAAAAAGUCAG
This is a long non-coding RNA of Empidonax traillii (willow flycatcher), 194 nucleotides long. RefSeq lists it as uncharacterized. Lineage: Eukaryota; Metazoa; Chordata; Aves; Passeriformes; Tyrannidae. The record is from RefSeq and is a predicted model, not a curated record. The transcript has 3 exons.